Unclassified non-coding RNA from Otolemur garnettii (small-eared galago), 104 nucleotides. It matches the Rfam family "Y RNA". From Rfam's summary of the family: Y RNAs are components of the Ro ribonucleoprotein particle (Ro RNP), in association with Ro60 and La proteins. The Y RNAs and Ro60 and La proteins are well conserved, but the function of the Ro RNP is not known. In humans the RNA component can be one of four small RNAs -- hY1, hY3, hY4 and hY5. Lineage: Eukaryota; Metazoa; Chordata; Mammalia; Primates; Galagidae. The record is from Ensembl.
GGCUUGUCUGAAGUGAGUUAUCUCAGUUGAUUGUUCACAGUCAGUUAUAAACUCCUUGUUCUACUCUUUCCCCCCUUCUCACUACUGCACUCAACUAGUCUAGG